This 30-nucleotide non-coding RNA is filed under the name Rattus norvegicus (Norway rat). Lineage: Eukaryota; Metazoa; Chordata; Mammalia; Rodentia; Muridae. The record is from RNAcentral.
UACAAACUGACUAACCUUGGGUAAGUUGGU